GUGACUGUAUUUUGAUCUCUACUUCAAAGAGCUGACUUCCUUUGGCACAGGUUCUCCAAGCAGCUGCAGAGGUGUAUGGUAUCACUUGUCCUUGGAGCAGCACACAGCUUUUCUUUUGGUGCCUGUGAGCUAAGGUGGGGUGUGGGAAAACUUCAUGGAGCCACUCUCGUCUACAGAAAGGCUACUAAAAGGCAGGAGAGCAAGGAUCACGACUGGCAAAGGAUAUGUGCUGAAAAAAAGUGCCAGAUGGAGAGGGGACCUCAUUCCCCAACCCCAGGCACGGCCCAGAACCCGCUUGAUGGGCAAUGCACGGCAACACGGAAUGCAGAACUUGGAGACCACAGGCGCUGGUCAUCUCCUGCACUGCGCUCCCUACCCACUCCGCACGGGCAGUGACUACCUAGAGCACUAACUAG
RNAcentral lists this long non-coding RNA (416 nucleotides) under Columba livia (rock pigeon). RNAcentral's name for it is "partial uncharacterized LOC102095382, transcript variant X2". Lineage: Eukaryota; Metazoa; Chordata; Aves; Columbiformes; Columbidae. The record is from RNAcentral.